RNAcentral lists this small nucleolar RNA (233 nucleotides) under Bathycoccus prasinos. Its description in RNAcentral is "Small nucleolar RNA U3". It matches the Rfam family "Small nucleolar RNA U3". Rfam says of the family: Small nucleolar RNAs (snoRNAs) are involved in the processing and modification of rRNA in the nucleolus. There are two main classes of snoRNAs: the box C/D class, and the box H/ACA class. The record is from Rfam by way of RNAcentral. Lineage: Eukaryota; Viridiplantae; Chlorophyta; Mamiellophyceae; Mamiellales; Bathycoccaceae.
UCGACUGUACUUAAUAUGGAUUAUUUCUAAAGUCUUUUCGAUACUCUUCAGUUUCCUUUUAACUGACGAACUCUUCAACGUUGAUGACGAGCAAUAAGUCUGCGCGGUCGAGCACGAAGGCCCGCACUUCAAAACCAUUUUCUGUUCAUUCAGAGAAUAAUUGAAUUGCUUUGAUGACUACCCCUUGAUACCAUUCCAAUCUCGGUGGAAGCCGCGUGACUUUUCCGAAGCGU